ACAUAUCCAAUGAUCCGGAGAUAUCUGAAUGGGGAAACCCGGCAGAGGAAACCUCUGUCAGCGUGCAGUGAAUACAUAGCUGUACGUGGGGAACCCGGGGAACUGAAACAUCUAAGUACCCGGAGGAAGAGAAAGAAAAUUUAUCGAUUUCCAAAGUAGCGGCGAGCGAAAUGGAAAGAGCCCAAACCGUGAUGCGUGCAUCGCGGGGUUCGGACUGCGUUGUGGCAGACGUAAGAUAGGAGAACGGACUGGGAAGUCCGGCCGGAGAGAGUGAAAGCCUCGUAUCCGAAAUCCCAAGUCGCCUAGCAGGAUCCAGAGUAGGACGAGACACGAGAAACCUUGUCUGAACGAGCGGGGACCACCCCGUAAGGCUAAAUACUUCUUAGUGACCGAUAGCGCAUAGUACUGUGAAGGAAAGGUGAAAAGUACCCCGGGAGGGGAGUGAAAGAGAACCUGAAACCCUGUGUCUACAAGCUGUGGGACCUCUUUAUAUGAGGGACUGCGUACUUUUUGUAGAACGGUCCGGCGAGUUGUGCGUACUGGCGAGGUUAAGGACUUAAGGUCUGGAGCCGAAGUGAAAGCAAGCGUUAAUAGCGCGUCAAGUCAGUGAGUGCAGACCCGAAACCGGGUGACCUAUCCAUGUCCAGGUUGAAGCUUCCGUAAGAGGAAGUGGAGGACCGAACCCACAUCCGUUGAAAAGGGUGGGGAUGAGGUGUGGAUAG
RNAcentral lists this ribosomal RNA (722 nucleotides) under Anaerostipes hadrus. Its description in RNAcentral is "partial 23S ribosomal RNA". It matches the Rfam family "Bacterial large subunit ribosomal RNA", at positions 90 to 818 of the family's 2925-position model. Lineage: Bacteria; Bacillati; Bacillota; Clostridia; Lachnospirales; Lachnospiraceae. The record is from RNAcentral.